Molecule: long non-coding RNA, 1257 nt
Organism: Hydra vulgaris (swiftwater hydra)
Lineage: Eukaryota; Metazoa; Cnidaria; Hydrozoa; Anthoathecata; Hydridae
Source: RefSeq, a predicted model, not a curated record
ACAUGCGUCAUUGCAAUUAUUCAAACGCUCCUAAUUGAUUUCACGCAAAAGCUGUAUAAAAUUGUAAUCGAGUCUUCGUUUACAUGCCUUAUCUAUACUGUUAUGGAUUUUUUAUUUAUACAGCAUUUAGUAUUUGUUUUUAAAAAAACAGAACUUAGACCGAUGGAAGAUUUUUGGAGUGAAAUCAAACGAACAGUUUAUGCUAAAUGCUGGCAAGCUGAAACUUUGGAACAACUUUGUAAUAGAAUUGACUACUGCUUAAAAAACUUAGAUCCUGAUUUAGUACAACGAUUUGGAUGAUUGUCUUUAACUAGAGUUGAUGCAGCUCGGCGAAAUGGAAUCCAAAACUUAUAAUUUUUUAUUUAAUUUUAUUUGAAUGAUAAUAUUUUUUAUCGUUUUUUAAAAAAAAAAAAUCUUUAUCCGUUAAAAAGUUAUUAAAUUUUUUCUUUUUGUCCAGAUUUAAUCGGUCAGAUGUUAGCAAAUUUCACUGCCACUUUACAAAAUAUGAAAAUACAUUACUUCAACAAAUGUUAGUUUUUUACACAUAAAAGUUAUGAAAAAUCUCCUAUGAAAUGGUUCAUCUAAAUCUAAUUCCCUGCAGUAUGCCUGUUAAAAAUAAAAACUGAAGAAACUUUAGAACUAGAUGAUGACAACUGAAGUUGAAAAACCGUUAUUCAUGGUGUCAUAUCGAGGCUUCAGUUCUCCAGUAUUUAUUUUUGUAUUUUAUUAUAUAUGUUAUGUUUGUUUUAUUUUUUAUUUUUGCUGCUUUUGUAACAACAAACUAUGUGAAUAUUUGUGAAUAAUUGUCCUGCCCUGGGCCUCUACUUCAAUCUGGCUAUUGUUAUAACACGAAUAUCGAUUUAUAUACUUUAUUGAGUUAGCUUUUGAUUUGUACAUGUGUUUUUGUUUUCCUAGUGUUUGUUAGUUACAUGCAAAAUACGGCAUGGUAUGGCACACUGUAUGAUAUGCCCUAAAUAAUAUUAUCAAUAAAUAUUUUAAUCUAUACUUUGUAAAUAUAUAUGCUUUAAAUUAUUAUAUUAUUCAAAUGUUUAUUUUAAGUUUAUUAAAUUUGUGUAAAAGUGGAUGAAAGCACUAAAGAAAAGUUACGAUAAACUUUAAAGCAGAUUUUUGUCAUGCGGUUAUGGUGGCAAUACGUGAGAACUAAUGUGGCAGAAUAUUACUAUCGUAAAACAGUUUUGCAUCAAAUCAUUGUAUAAUAUUAGUUUUUUGUUGUUUAAAAAUAUUAUGAAAUUCAAA